RNAcentral lists this ribosomal RNA (897 nucleotides) under uncultured bacterium. Its description in RNAcentral is "bacterial SSU rRNA". It matches the Rfam family "Bacterial small subunit ribosomal RNA", at positions 10 to 920 of the family's 1533-position model. The record is from RNAcentral.
AGUUUGAUCCUGGCUCAGGACGAACGCUGGCGGCGCGCCUAACACAUGCAAGUCGAACGAGAGAUGAGGAGCUUGCUCUUCAAAUCGAGUGGCGAACGGGUGAGUAACGCGUGAGGAACCUGCCUCAAAGAGGGGGACAACAGUUGGAAACGACUGCUAAUACCGCAUAAGCCCACAGCUCGGCAUCGAGCAGAGGGAAAAGGAGUGAUCCGCUUUGAGAUGGCCUCGCGUCCGAUUAGCUAGUUGGUGAGGUAAUGGCCCACCAAGGCGACGAUCGGUAGCCGGACUGAGAGGUUGAACGGCCACAUUGGGACUGAGACACGGCCCAGACUCCUACGGGAGGCAGCAGUGGGGAAUAUUGCACAAUGGGGGAAACCCUGAUGCAGCGACGCCGCGUGGAGGAAGAAGGUCUUCGGAUUGUAAACUCCUGUUGUUGAGGAAGAUAAUGACGGUACUCAACAAGGAAGUGACGGCUAACUACGUACCAGCAGCCGCGGUAAAACGUAGGUCACAAGCGUUGUCCGGAAUUACUGGGUGUAAAGGGAGCGCAGGCGGGAGAACAAGUUGGAAGUGAAAUCCAUGGGCUCAACCCAUGAACUGCUUUCAAAACUGUUUUUCUUGAGUAGUGCAGAGGUAGGCGGAAUUCCCGGUGUAGCGGUGGAAUGCGUAGAUAUCGGGAGGAACACCAGUGGCGAAGGCGGCCUACUGGGCACCAACUGACGCUGAGGCUCGAAAGUGUGGGUAGCAAACAGGAUUAGAUACCCUGGUAGUCCACACCGUAAACGAUGAUUACUAGGUGUUGGAGGAUUGACCCCUUCAGUGCCGCAGUUAACACAAUAAGUAAUCCACCUGGGGAGUACGACCGCAAGGUUGAAACUCAAAGGAAUUGACGGAAGG